This 380-nucleotide ribosomal RNA is filed under the name uncultured eukaryote. Its description in RNAcentral is "partial 18S ribosomal RNA". It matches the Rfam family "Eukaryotic small subunit ribosomal RNA", at positions 592 to 976 of the family's 1831-position model. The record is from RNAcentral.
CAAUAGCGUAUAUUAAAGUUGUUGCAGUUAGAACGCUCGUAGUCGGAUUUCGGGGCGGGCCGACCGGUCUGCCGAUGGGUAUGCACUGGUCGGCGCGUCCUUCCUUCCGGAGACCGUCCCUACUCUUAACUGAGCGGGGGCGGGAGACGGGACUUUUACUUUGAAAAAAUCAGAGUGUUUCAAGCAGGCAGCCCGCUCUUGCAUGGAUUAGCAUGGGAUAAUGAAAUAGGACUUUGGUGCUAUUUUGUUGGUUUCGAACACCGAAGUAAUGAUGAGAAGGGACAGUCAGGGGCACUCGUAUUCCGCCGAGAGAGGUGAAAUUCUCAGACCAGCGGAAGACGAACCACUGCGAAAGCAUUUGCCAGGGAUGUUUNCACUGA